Long non-coding RNA from Sinocyclocheilus rhinocerous, 218 nucleotides. RefSeq lists it as uncharacterized. Lineage: Eukaryota; Metazoa; Chordata; Actinopteri; Cypriniformes; Cyprinidae. The transcript is spliced from 4 exons. The record is from RefSeq and is a predicted model, not a curated record.
GGAGGAGGAGGAGGAGGAGGAGGAGGCGGCGGCUCCGACAGUGAGGAUGACCCUCUUGAUGCUUUUAUGGCUGAGGUGGAGGACCAAGCAGAAAAAGACAUGAGGAAACUUGAAGAAAAGGAAAAAGAGAAAAAGUUAGCCAAGGGUAUACGGGAUGACAUUGAAGAGGAGGAUGACCAAGAAGCAUAUUUUCGUUACAUGGCGGAAAACCCAACAGC